AGGCGUGUAGCUCAGGUGGUUAGAGCGCACCCCUGAUAAGGGUGAGGUCGGUGGUUCACGUCCACUCCGGCCUACCA
This 77-nucleotide transfer RNA is filed under the name Klebsiella pneumoniae. Its description in RNAcentral is "tRNA-Ile". It matches the Rfam family "tRNA". Rfam says of the family: Transfer RNA (tRNA) molecules are approximately 80 nucleotides in length. Their secondary structure includes four short double-helical elements and three loops (D, anti-codon, and T loops). Further hydrogen bonds mediate the characteristic L-shaped molecular structure. tRNAs have two regions of fundamental functional importance: the anti-codon, which is responsible for specific mRNA codon recognition, and the 3' end, to which the tRNAs corresponding amino acid is attached (by aminoacyl-tRNA synthetases). tRNAs cope with the degeneracy of the genetic code in two manners: having more than one tRNA (with a specific anti-codon) for a particular amino acid; and 'wobble' base-pairing, i.e. permitting non-standard base-pairing at the 3rd anti-codon position. The record is from RNAcentral. Lineage: Bacteria; Pseudomonadati; Pseudomonadota; Gammaproteobacteria; Enterobacterales; Enterobacteriaceae.